UCAUUCAGGGUCUGGGGAAAUACUGCCUGCUCGGCAUAAUGCUGGCUGGCUGUUCGCCUCCAAACUAUACUUGCCUUGACUUUACUUCUGCCUUUACUAUACUGAGGUAACUUCUUUCUGGUCCUAUCUCCUUCAGGACUUUUAUCAUGAAGCCAUCUGAACUUUGUCAAAUGCCUGUCCCUUAUUCACUGAGAAGAUCAUGUGGUUUCUGUCUUGAAGUCUAUUCAUCUGAUGUGUAACACUUGUUUGUUCGUGAAUGCUGAACUAACCUUGUAUCCCUGGGAUGGAACCAAGUUUGUUGUGAUGUAUGAUAUUAAUGUCCUCUUGAAUUUGGUUUGCAAAUGAGGUGGCAGGACAGCCACCUCCCCCAAACUGAAGACAACAAUAUAUGGAAACAGAGCCCCAGUGUGCUGUAAAGAGCCUUCUGCAGUUCAGUGCCAAGUGGGAGACCUGAGCUGAGAGACAGUUAUCUGCAGAAACACAGCUACAGAGUUCUGCACUUACCUGGAGCUGGCUGAGAAGGCUACCUAGUAAAUCCCAGGAAUGCCACGUCUUGCUGUCACACCUGGGUUCUGGGACUCUGACGAGGUCCUCAUGCUUGCAUAGUGAGCACUGCUGACUGAGACAUCUUCCCGCCCUCCAUUACUUCUACUGUGCUGUCUACUUUGGCCAUUAGGGACUUUGCCGUAUCAUUGAAUAUUAUUUUAAAUUUCAGUUCUGAUACUUCCAUCAUCCCUCCCGUGCCCAAUUCUGUCAUGAAUGUUUUUCAGUCUCUUCCACCGUUUUUGUCUUGUGAAGGCCUUACACACUUGUUGUGGUCCAGGCAUGGUGACCUGAGGGAGAAGAACUCGGGAUAGGCCUGUGGUAACAAGACGUGGGGCAGGGGAGUGUUCUCUGAGCCUCCAGGCACAUCUUAGUUCCCUAAGACCGGGCUUCUGCACACGUGAGUGGAGAGGUUGAGCUGGGCAGAGGCAAGCGAACAAGCGAGCGAGUGGUCAUUUCCUGCUCUCUGCUCUGGCCAGCCUGUUGGAGGCAGAGAACCCGGUGAUGCAUCUGGUUAUACAC
Non-coding RNA from Rattus norvegicus (Norway rat), 1065 nucleotides. Lineage: Eukaryota; Metazoa; Chordata; Mammalia; Rodentia; Muridae. The record is from RefSeq and is a predicted model, not a curated record.